This 301-nucleotide ribosomal RNA is filed under the name uncultured bacterium. RNAcentral's name for it is "partial 16S ribosomal RNA". It matches the Rfam family "Bacterial small subunit ribosomal RNA", at positions 509 to 807 of the family's 1533-position model. The record is from RNAcentral.
CAGUAGCCGCGGUAAUGCGGAGGGUGCUAGCGUUGUUUGGAAUUACUGGGCGUAAAGCGCACGUAGGCGGCUUGGUAAGUUAGAGGUGAAAGCCUGGAGCUCAACUCCAGAAUUGCCUUUAAGACUGCCGAGCUAGCAGGUGAGAGAGGUAAGUGGAAUUCCGAGUGUAGAGGUGAAAUUCGUAGAUAUUCGAAAGAACACCAGUGGCGAAGGCGGCUUACUGGCUCAUACUGGACGCUGAGGUGCGAAAGCGUGGGGAGCAAACAGGAUUAGAUACCCCGGUAGUCCCUGUCUCUUAUAC